AGACCGUCAGAUGUCUGAGAGUCUCAGAUGAUGACUGAUGAGCAAGGAAUGCAGACGUGCAGGAUGGGCCAGGAGCAAGGGCUACACUGGGCACUCCUGCCACCCAGGGGCCUGGGGGCUGGAAGCAGGCAUUGGGCUCUGAGGAUUAGGAAAAUUAUUUUUUGAGAAGUUGGGACUUAAGGAUGUUGAUGAGGUGAAACAUCUUUUUCCUGAUGAAGGUGGAAAAUACUAACAUUCCUCACGUUUGAAUUUACUUUCAUCUGUUUUUAGUAUCAGACUACUCUCCCCUGUGCUCAGCCUGAUCCGGUUCCUCAUUACGCUGCAGUUGGUCAAUGGGAAGAAUUCUGUUCAUGGGAAGAAUGAACAGAGUCCAUGCUGUUCAUGGGAAGAAUGCGCAUGAGUAUCAGCAGUACCUAAAUCUUCUUUCUACGUGAGAGGAAAAGGAGUUGCCUCUGCUACUCCUCGCAUCCUGUUCCUGAGAAGAAAACACUGAACCCCCAGAAGCUGCGUGCUGUGCUGACCUGGCUGCCACUCUCCCCACACUCCCUGGUGUGAGGAGGCUCGGUGCUCCCUCCCACCACCUCCAGCCACACCUUUCCUUUCUUCAAAAACCUACAACGCUGUUCUCACUCUGAAGUUGUUUCAAGAAGCUUCUAAAACAGUGUCUCAAACUUCUGUGAAUUCUUCCCACAGUCAUAAAGACAUUUCACAAGAAGACCCCCUAGAUACUCACAUCUUUACCCACAGUCAUAAAGAUGUUUCACAGGGAGACCCUCUAGAUACUCACAUCUUUAUCAAUUUAGCAAAUGUUUCGCAGCACAGCACUUACCUUUGUGACAUGUGAUGCACACUGAUAGUUUGUAUUGUGCUACACUGCGCUAUUCUUUUAAAAGCCAGUCAUAGCUGACCAAAUGGAUGUCACCACUUUCUAACACAUCUAGGUCUGCAACUAAAAUACUCCAAAUAUUCCAGCAAGGACCAAAAAUCUCAGGCCUAGAUUUGCCAACAGUGCCCUCUUCUGGGCAGCUUUAUUAUAAGCAGUGUCUUGAAACACUUGUGUGAUUGUCAAUGUAUGUAUGUGUACACUGAGUCUCACCAGAAAAUAUAUCUAUGUCUGCUGGUUA
Non-coding RNA from Macaca mulatta (Rhesus monkey), 1124 nucleotides. The record is from RefSeq and is a predicted model, not a curated record. NCBI's taxonomy places the organism in Eukaryota, Metazoa, Chordata, Mammalia, Primates, Cercopithecidae.